CCUACGGGAGGCAGCAACUAGGAAUUAUGUGCAAUGGGCGAAAGCCUGACACUGCGACAUCGCGUGGAGGAUGAAGGUCUUAGGAUCGUAAACUCCUUUUAUUGGGGAACGUGUACCCAAUGAAUAAGUGCCUGCCAACCACGUGCCAGAAGCAUCGGUAAUACGUGGGACACAAGCGUUAUCCGGAUUUACUGGGCGUAAAGAGAGCGUAGGUGACUUAAUAAGUUCUGUGUUAAAGCCUAAUGCUCACCAUUAGAAGCGCGCAGAAAACUAUUUUGAUUGAGUUAAGUAGGGAGAAGGGGAAUUCCUGGUGGAGCGGUUAAAUGCGUUGAUAUCAGGAGGAACACCAAUAGCGAAGGCACCUUCUUGGCUAUACUGACACUAAGGCUCGAAAGCGUGGGGAGCAAAACGGAUUAGAUACCCUUGUAGUC
RNAcentral lists this ribosomal RNA (431 nucleotides) under uncultured bacterium. RNAcentral describes it as "partial 16S ribosomal RNA". It matches the Rfam family "Bacterial small subunit ribosomal RNA", at positions 338 to 795 of the family's 1533-position model. The record is from RNAcentral.